RNAcentral lists this ribosomal RNA (433 nucleotides) under uncultured Roseburia sp. RNAcentral describes it as "partial 16S ribosomal RNA". It matches the Rfam family "Bacterial small subunit ribosomal RNA", at positions 341 to 792 of the family's 1533-position model. Lineage: Bacteria; Bacillati; Bacillota; Clostridia; Lachnospirales; Lachnospiraceae. The record is from RNAcentral.
ACGGAAGGCAGCAGUGGGGGAUAUUGCACAAUGGGGGAAACCCUGAUGCAGCGACGCCGCGUGAGUGAAGAAGUAUUUCGGUAUGUAAAGCUCUAUCAGCAGGAAAGAUAAUGACGGUACCUGACUAAGAAGCACCGGCUAAAUACGUGCCAGCAGCCGCGGUAAUACGUAUGGUGCAAGCGUUAUCCGGAUUUAUUGGGUUUAAAGGGAGCGCAGGCGGAGAUGCAAGCCAGCCGUAAAAUCGUUGAGCUCAACUCAAUCUCGCGGUUGGAACUGCAUCCCUUGAGUGCACUAGAGGGUGGUGGAAUUCGUGGUGUAGCGGUGAAAUGCAUAGAUAUCACGAAGAACUCCGAUUGCGAAGGCAGCCACCUGGCGUGUUACUGACGCUCAUGCUCGAAGGCGCGGGUAUCAAACAGGAUUAGAUACCCUGGUA